CGUGCGAAUCCAUUCAGUUAUUUCAAUGUUAGUGUAAACGGAAAGAAAAUUCGUCGGGAAAUUCUCUAUGCAAUUCAAUCCGAGCGAAACAAGCAAUAUGUUAACUUGGUUCCGCGUAGUCGUGUUAUUGAUAAUCUCAUCGAAAUGGACAUACACGCUUGAAGUUCGUUCUUGCAGUUCAAAGAAACCCCUUCCAUUGAGUGUAGAAGUGGAUGGGUGCAAUAAAGAGCCAUGCAAGGUGAUAAAUAAGAGCAACAUUCACUUUGCAAUAAACUUUGAAGUUUGUAACUGAAGAUACUGAAAAACUACGAGCCCACGCAAAGGCUUUUCUGGAAGGCGUCUUACUACCGUACGACGUGCCCAAGGAAGAUUUGGACGCUUGUAAGUUUUUAAAGAAUGCAACGUGUCCAUUG
Molecule: long non-coding RNA, 413 nt
Organism: Bradysia coprophila
Lineage: Eukaryota; Metazoa; Arthropoda; Insecta; Diptera; Sciaridae
Source: RefSeq, a predicted model, not a curated record